AUUGAACGCUGGCGGCAGGCCUAACACAUGCAAGUCGAACGGUAACAGGAAGAAGCUUGCUUCUUUGCUGACGAGUGGCGGACGGGUGAGUAAUGUCUGGGAAACUGCCUGAUGGAGGGGGAUAACUACUGGAAACGGUAGCUAAUACCGCAUAACGUCGCAAGACCAAAAAGGGGGACCUUCGGGCCUCUUGCCAUCGGAUGUGCCCAGAUGGGAUUAGCUAGUAGGUGGGGUAACGGCUCACCUAGGCGACGAUCCCUAGCUGGUCUGAGAGGAUGACCAGCCACACUGGAACUGAGACACGGUCCAGACUCCUACGGGAGGCAGCAGUGGGGAAUAUUGCACAAUGGGCGCAAGCCUGAUGCAGCCAUGCCGCGUGUAUGAAGAAGGCCUUCGGGUUGUAAAGUACUUUCAGCGGGGAGGAAGGGAGUAAAGUUAAUACCUUUACUCAUUGACGUUACCCGCAGAAGAAGCACCGGCUAACUCCGUG
RNAcentral lists this ribosomal RNA (490 nucleotides) under uncultured bacterium. RNAcentral describes it as "partial 16S ribosomal RNA". It matches the Rfam family "Bacterial small subunit ribosomal RNA", at positions 30 to 507 of the family's 1533-position model. The record is from RNAcentral.